RNAcentral lists this ribosomal RNA (495 nucleotides) under uncultured bacterium. RNAcentral's name for it is "partial 16S ribosomal RNA". It matches the Rfam family "Bacterial small subunit ribosomal RNA", at positions 28 to 507 of the family's 1533-position model. The record is from RNAcentral.
GACGAACGCUGGCGGCGUGCCUAAUACAUGCAAGUAGAACGCUGAAGGAGGAGCUUGCUUCUCUGGAUGAGUUGCGAACGGGUGAGUAACGCGUAGGUAACCUGCCUGGUAGCGGGGGAUAACUAUUGGAAACGAUAGCUAAUACCGCAUAAGAGUAGAUGUUGCAUGACAUUUGCUUAAAAGGUGCAAUUGCAUCACUACCAGAUGGACCUGCGUUGUAUUAGCUAGUUGGGGGGGUAACGGCUCACCAAGGCGACGAUACAUAGCCGACCUGGGAGGGUGAUCGGGCAAACUGGGACUGAGACACGGCCCAGAACCCUACGGGAGGGAGCAGGAGGGAAUCUUUGGCAAUUGACGGAAGGCUGACCGAGCAACGCCGCGGGAGGGAAGAAGGGUUUCGGAUCGUAAAGCUCUGUUGUAAGAGAAGAACGAGUGUGAGAGUGGAAAGUUCACACUGUGACGUUAGCUUAACAGAAAGGGACGGCUAACUACGUG